Molecule: ribosomal RNA, 373 nt
Filed under: uncultured organism
Description: partial 16S ribosomal RNA
Rfam family: Bacterial small subunit ribosomal RNA
Source: RNAcentral
GUAGGUGGCAAGCGUUGUCCGGAAUUAUUGGGCGUAAAGCGCGCGCAGGUGGUUCUUUAAGUCUGAUGUGAAAGCCCCCGGCUCAACCGGGGAGGGUCAUUGGAAACUGGGGAACUUGAGUGCAGGAGAGGAAAGUGGAAUUCCACGUGUAGCGGUGAAAUGCGUAGAUAUGUGGAGGAACACCAGUGGCGAAGGCGACUUUCUGGCCUGUAACUGACACUGAGGCGCGAAAGCGUGGGGAGCAAACAGGGAUUAGAUACCCUGGUAGUCCACGCCGUAAACGAUGAGUGCUAAGUGUUGGGGGGGGUUUCCGCCCCCUCAGUGCUGCAGCUAACGCAUUAAGCACUCCGCCUGGGAUACGGUCGCAAGACUG